Molecule: ribosomal RNA, 349 nt
Filed under: uncultured bacterium
Lineage: Bacteria
Description: bacterial SSU rRNA
Rfam family: Bacterial small subunit ribosomal RNA
Source: RNAcentral
ACCCCGCACAAGCGGCGGAGCAUGUGGUUUAAUUCGAUGAUACGCGAGGAACCUUACCAGGGCUUAAAUGCAGAGCGAAUAGUUUGGAAACAGACUAGCCUUCGGGCGAUCUGCAAGGUGCUGCAUGGCUGUCGUCAGCUCGUGCCGUGAGGUGUUGGUUAAGUCCCGCAACGAGCGCAACCCCUAUCUUUAGUUGCCAGCGAGUAAUGUCGGGGACUCUAAAGAAACUGCCUACGCAAGUAGAGAGGAAGGCGGGGCACGACGUCAAGUCAUCACGGCCCUUACGUCCUGGGCCACACACGUGCUACAAUGGUCGGUACAGAGGGCAGCUACCUGGUGACAGGGAGCG